RNAcentral lists this ribosomal RNA (700 nucleotides) under uncultured bacterium. RNAcentral's name for it is "bacterial SSU rRNA". It matches the Rfam family "Bacterial small subunit ribosomal RNA", at positions 43 to 755 of the family's 1533-position model. The record is from RNAcentral.
CGGCUUAACAUGCAAGUCGAACGGUGAAACGGAGCUUGCUCUGUGGGAUCAGUGGCGAACGGGUGAGUAACACGUGAGCAACCUGCCCCUGACUCUGGGAUAAGCGCUGGAAACGGCGUCUAAUACUGGAUACGAGUAGCGGCCGCAUGGUCAGUUACUGGAAAGAUUUUUUGGUUGGGGAUGGGCUCGCGGCCUAUCAGCUUGUUGGUGAGGUAAAUGCUCACACCAAGGCGUCGACGGGUAGCCGGCCUGAGAGGGUGACCGGCCACACUGGGACUGAGACACGGCCCAGACUCCUACGGGAGGCAGCAGUGGGGAAUAUUGCACAAUGGGCGGAAGCCUGAUGCAGCAACGCCGCGUGAGGGAUGACGGCCUUCGGGUUGUAAACCUCUUUUAGCAGGGAAGAAGCGAAAGUGACGGUACCUGCAGAAAAAGCGCCGGCUAACUACGUGCCAGCAGCCGCGGUAAUACGUAGGGCGCAAGCGUUAUCCGGAAUUAUUGGGCGUAAAGAGCUCGUAGGCGGUUUGUCGCGUCUGCUGUGAAAUCCCGAGGCUCAACCUCGGGCCUGCAGUGGGUACGGGCAGACUAGAGUGCGGUAGGGGAGAUUGGAAUUCCUGGUGUAGCGGUGGAAUGCGCAGAUAUCAGGAGGAACACCGAUGGCGAAGGCAGAUCUCUGGGCCGUAACUGACGCUGAGGAGCG